AUUUUUUUAAUAAAUUAAAGCUGCUAACUUUGAUUAGGGGAUAUAUCUCUCCAAAAAAAU
This 60-nucleotide transfer RNA is filed under the name Succineidae gen. n. sp. z RM-2021. RNAcentral's name for it is "tRNA-Ser". Lineage: Eukaryota; Metazoa; Mollusca; Gastropoda; Stylommatophora; Succineidae. The record is from RNAcentral.